This 416-nucleotide long non-coding RNA is filed under the name Mytilus galloprovincialis (Mediterranean mussel). Lineage: Eukaryota; Metazoa; Mollusca; Bivalvia; Mytilida; Mytilidae. The record is from RNAcentral.
CUCCAGGUAAGUCAUUAUUUAAAUUGUCAUUCAUACUUCUGGUAAAAUGUGUUUCUUGCAUCAUUAAAAUUUGACAUUUUUGCUGUUUGCACCACUCAAAUAAUCUUUUUCUUUUUUCAGAUUGCAGUAAACCUUGAGUGUUUACAGAACAUAUGUGAAGUGGUUUAGGAGCCAUUUGUGUGAAAAGGUAAGUUUGUUUACUUUUUUAUUUUCCUUCAUUAUUUGUUUGUUCUUUCCGUUUAUAUUUUUUUCGCUAACGUACCUUUCAUUUAUUGUUAACUCUGUCCUUAAUUUAAAUGACCUAGUUUGUUGGACUUUAUAAUAUCGCAUGUGUGUAUUGACACUGUCACGUGAUGAGUGUAAAUAUAAACAAUACCACGUGAUUUUGCUAUCAUGUGACGUUUGUAAAUAAAAAC